RNAcentral lists this ribosomal RNA (403 nucleotides) under bacterium. Its description in RNAcentral is "partial 16S ribosomal RNA". It matches the Rfam family "Bacterial small subunit ribosomal RNA", at positions 355 to 776 of the family's 1533-position model. The record is from RNAcentral.
UGGGGAAUAUUGCACAAUGGAGGGAACUCUGAUGCAGCGACGCCGCGUGAACGAAGAAGGCUUUCGAGUCGUAAAGUUCUUUUAUAUGGGAAGAUAAUGACGGUACCAUAAGAAAAAGCCCCGGCUAACUACGUGCCAGCAGCCGCGGUAAUACGUAGGGGGCUAGCGUUGUCCGGAAUCACUGGGCGUAAAGGGUUCGCAGGCGGAAAUGCAAGUCAGGUGUAAAAGGCAGUAGCUUAACUACUGUAAGCAUUUGAAACUGCAUAUCUUGAGAAGAGUAGAGGUAAGUGGAAUUUUUAGUGUAGCGGUGAAAUGCGUAGAUAUUAAAAAGAAUACCGGUGGCGAAGGCGACUUACUGAGCUCAUUAUGACGCUGAGGAACGAAAGCGUGGGUAGCAAACAGG